GGAGUCGGCCGGGCAAUCGCGCGGUGCUUGCACCGGGAGGAAAGUCCGGGCUCCUGCGGGCGGGAUGCCAGGUAACGCCUGGGGGGCGUGAGCCCACGGAAAGUGCCACAGAAAAUAUACCGCCUUUAUUUAUAGAGGUAAGGGUGAAAAGGUGCGGUAAGAGCGCACCGCGUAAAUGGCAACAUUUGUGGCAGUGCAAACCCCAUCGAGAGCAAGACCAAAUAGAGGAGCUAUGAUUUCCCGUGAUCGCUC
Molecule: RNase P RNA, 252 nt
Filed under: Gammaproteobacteria bacterium
Lineage: Bacteria; Pseudomonadati; Pseudomonadota; Gammaproteobacteria
Description: partial RNase P RNA component class A
Rfam family: Bacterial RNase P class A
About the family: Ribonuclease P (RNase P) is a ubiquitous endoribonuclease, found in archaea, bacteria and eukarya as well as chloroplasts and mitochondria.
Source: RNAcentral